AUAGAUAAGGGACCGGUCAUUAUUUAUGGCGGGGGGUGGCACCGAAGAGAAAAUGGUUGGGUAAACUAAAUUUUGAGUAAGUAAAAGGUUGGGUAAAUGAAAAACAAAACAACUCAAGGGUUGGGUAAUAAAAAGUUAUAGUCAUAUGUCAAUACAAUAAGUGAAUCAAUCAGUCACUGUCUUGAUCAUUUUCCAAUUUGUUAGAAGACAAAUGUGUUUCCAAAGAAAGCACAUGUGCAGACAACAUGAUACAUUAGACUGCAGCAAAUUUCACAAGCAGUUAUCUAACUCCUGUCACAGAAAUCGGGUAAAGGACAUAUGUGACAACUGAA
RNAcentral lists this long non-coding RNA (332 nucleotides) under Paramuricea clavata. Lineage: Eukaryota; Metazoa; Cnidaria; Anthozoa; Malacalcyonacea; Plexauridae. The record is from RNAcentral.